This 74-nucleotide transfer RNA is filed under the name Enterococcus casseliflavus. RNAcentral's name for it is "tRNA-Arg". It matches the Rfam family "tRNA". Rfam says of the family: Transfer RNA (tRNA) molecules are approximately 80 nucleotides in length. Their secondary structure includes four short double-helical elements and three loops (D, anti-codon, and T loops). The record is from RNAcentral. Lineage: Bacteria; Bacillati; Bacillota; Bacilli; Lactobacillales; Enterococcaceae.
GCAUGGGUAGCUCAACUGGAUAGAGCAACAGCCUUCUAAGCUGUGGAUUGCAGGUUCAAAUCCUGCCCUGUGCG